This 569-nucleotide ribosomal RNA is filed under the name Gordonia bronchialis. RNAcentral describes it as "bacterial SSU rRNA". It matches the Rfam family "Bacterial small subunit ribosomal RNA", at positions 293 to 873 of the family's 1533-position model. The record is from RNAcentral. Lineage: Bacteria; Bacillati; Actinomycetota; Actinomycetes; Mycobacteriales; Gordoniaceae.
UGAGAGGGUGAUCGGCCACACUGGGACUGAGACACGGCCCAGACUCUACGGGAGGCAGCAGUGGGGAAUAUUGCACAAUGGGCGCAAGCCUGAUGCAGCGACGCCGCGUGAGGGAUGACGGCCUUCGGGUUGUAAACCUCUUUCACCAGGGACGAAGCGUGAGUGACGGUACCUGGAGAAGAAGCACCGGCCAACUACGUGCCAGCAGCCGCGGUAAUACGUAGGGUGCGAGCGUUGUCCGGAAUUACUGGGCGUAAAGAGCUCGUAGGCGGUUUGUCGCGUCGUCUGUGAAAUUCUGCAGCUUAACUGUAGGCGUGCAGGCGAUACGGGCAGACUUGAGUACUACAGGGGAGACUGGAAUUCCUGGUGUAGCGGUGAAAUGCGCAGAUAUCAGGAGGAACACCGGUGGCGAAGGCGGGUCUCUGGGUAGUAACUGACGCUGAGGAGCGAAAGCGUGGGUAGCGAACAGGAUUAGAUACCCUGGUAGUCCACGCCGUAAACGGUGGGUACUAGGUGUGGGGCUCAUUUCACGAGUUCCGUGCCGUAGCUAACGCAUUAAGUACCCCGCC